Molecule: ribosomal RNA, 253 nt
Filed under: uncultured bacterium
Lineage: Bacteria
Description: partial 16S ribosomal RNA
Rfam family: Bacterial small subunit ribosomal RNA
Source: RNAcentral
UACGAAGGGUGCAAGCGUUACUCGGAAUUACUGGGCGUAAAGCGUGCGUAGGUGGUUUGUUAAGUCUGAUGUGAAAGCCCUGGGCUCAACCUGGGAAUUGCAUUGGAUACUGGCAGGCUAGAGUGCGGUAGAGGAUGGCGGAAUUCCCGGUGUAGCAGUGAAAUGCGUAGAGAUCGGGAGGAACAUCUGUGGCGAAGGCGGCCAUCUGGACCAGCACUGACGCUGAGGCACGAAAGCGUGGGGAGCAAACAGG